Molecule: long non-coding RNA, 5813 nt
Organism: Zingiber officinale
Lineage: Eukaryota; Viridiplantae; Streptophyta; Magnoliopsida; Zingiberales; Zingiberaceae
Exons: 2
Source: RefSeq, a predicted model, not a curated record
AAUUAAUCUUAGUAGAGUUAGAAGAGGGGUCUUACAUGAGGGUAAGGGCCUGCUUUGGUUAAGCCAAGAAUGACUUGCCUAUAGCUUGCAAGAUCUUCAGAGAUCAUUAUUGUCUGAAGAGGUGAUGACUACAUCUUUGGGUUUUCUAUAGGGCAGUCAUCCCCUUGGCUUAUGCUGAGAGGCUCUUAUCCUUCAUGCCAGCCUCUGAAAAUCUUCUGUCAAUUUUCUAAUUUUCAAUUACUAUAAAGGUUUAUACUGCUGAAGUCUUCGUUACAGGCCAGGUAGACAUUGUAGUAUAUAAAUCACAAGGUUUUUUCAGGACUUCGUGUGAUCAGCUGGAAGGGAGGUAAAUCAACUUCGCCCAGUGCAGGUAGAAUAUAAUGAUGCAUUUCGCACAUGUUAAAAUUGAUAUCAUUACACCGUAUAUAAAUACCAAUUAGUAGACCAGGUGUACAUAUUUAUUAUUAAAACAUAGUCAAUUAUCCUAUUUAAAAAUUUUAUCUUAAAUUUUAAAUACGAUAGUUAAAAAAUCCGUACAUUAUCUAUUCUACUCAUUCUCUAAAUUUUAUAUCUAUGAAUAAUAUUUUUUAAAAUUUAGAAAAUAAAUUUUAUUCCCUAAACACUAUAGAGGAGUAAGAAAAAAUAAAAAAGAUAAUAUAUAUAGUGCGGUGAAAAAUAAAUAUCUAAAUUUAAUAAAAUAUAUUUUUUUAUUCUAAAUUAUACGUUUUAUAUAAGAAAGCUGGUGUGAUUAUAUAUAUAUAUAUAUAUAUAUAUAUAGUGUUGUGGUAAAUGAUAGGAUGUUUUUCUCAAAUAAUUAGGGUUUAAAAUCCAUUUAGUCAAUACAUGUGAUGUUUAAAUAAUUAGUGGAGUAAAAUAUAAAAGAUAAUAUCCUUCAGUUCAAAUAGUUUAGUAUCAUAGGUUCUAUGAUAAAAUAUAAGUAAGUAAAUCUUAAAGACAUUUUGCCAUGGCAAAAUAAUUUUUAAUUUACAUAAGAAGGUCAUGCACUCAACAAAUUAUUUUACAUAGUUGAAAAUUGACUCUAAAACUUAUUAAAUCAACUAUUCAUGUAUGCACUAACUGUCUAACUCGUGGGUGCGUGUUUGAAUAACUAGUGAGGUUGGGAUGCCGCGUCAAAAGCUACCUCGCUUACUGCAUAGGGAGAAUGUGAAAUUGGCCAGUCGAUCCCAUAAUUAAUCGAGUUAUAAGAUUUAGAUAUUUGAUAUAAAAAAAAAUCUAUAUGCACCACUAACAUUACUAUGGAUGAUAAUCCAUAUACAUCUGUUAUUUUUUAAGAUUUAAAAUUAAAAAUAAGAUUAUAUAGAUAGACGUGCGAAGCUGCGAGGAAAAAACAUGUCAUCUAUUUUAACCUAAUGUAUAAUAUUUUUAAAAAUUGGGGGCCAUUGUUAACAAAUUAAAGGUUAAGUGGACAAAUGGAAAGAUUGUCCAGAGGAUCUGCUGCUCUCGCGUUGGUCCCUUUUUAUCCAGGUCUUUCUAACAGCGACGAAACCCUAAUCAUGGCGAAUCUGGGUGGGGUCAGGUCGUCUUCUCCUUCUCCUCGCAACUAUUCUUUUAAUAUCUCCAUGUUACGUGAUGGCUAGCUUCGGUGUCCUCCUUCCUCGACGCAUACAAGAAAGUAAGCCUGACGCUUCGGUGUCCUCCUUCCGGCGCUGAGCAGGUCUCCAUUGCGAUCGAUCUCGUUCGUAUCGUUGCAUGUGUCUAUUGCUUCUUACUUAAAUGUUUUCCUUAUUAGUCCACUAAUUUUCAACUAUCUCGAUGCUUCAAGUAAGUUUCUCGUUCAGUUAUGAUUUAUGAAUACGCGAUCCCAUUUCUAUUGAUCCUAUUUCUUUGGAAUGAUAUAUUUUUGUGAAUCGGAUUGAAGCCGUGUGCUUAGGAUUGAGAAAAUUGGGGAGUAACAUGAUCUACUUGAAGAUCUUGACCAUGUGAAUUUUUUUUCCCAUUGGACAGGCUCUCAUUUGACCUUUUCCUGCAUUUUCAAAAUCUAUUCCUUGUUUGGUUUCUUAUAAACCUUUGGAUAGAACUUAUGCUAUGUGGAUUGCAUUAUGCUAUGCUUGAAUUGCUUUUACUACUUGUUUCUGUUUCAGUUACUGAAGCUAGUUUGAAGAUUCUAUAUUUUUUUAUUGAAAAUUUUUAUUUUGUCUUUAGAUCCAUUCAUUCCUCUUCAAGCAACUCUCAUAAAUGAUUUUGUCCUAUGAUAAUUGUGCAUAUCAUAUAUUCAAUGUGCUGUGGAAAUCUAUUAUUUCCAUUAGUUUGUUAAAUUAACUACACAUUCCAGAUCUAGGAGCUGCAGCUCUUAGGAAGGAAUUACUUUCAAGAACUCUGAGAGUAGUAACAUUCAUGGACUAUAGGCUGGUUAUGAAACAAGUUGCUAUAGUGUGUAUUAACCUGAUUCAAGAAAAGAAGAUGAAAUGCCUAAACAAGAUUAUGCACUACGGUUUGGCACAUAGUUAGGGAAUUAAGGAUGAGGAGAUGGAGACAAGUAUCUUAUUUGGAUCAGAGGGACUCAAUUCAAGCAUUUAAAGAGACACUUUAAGUUGCAUCUGUCCUUUAUUACUAAACAUUUGAUUAAAUUUGGAGCAAUGCCCUUCUCAAUUUAUGAUAUGACAAUCUGUUUAAGUAGGGGAGAAUUUUUUUAUGCCUCUACUGUCUACCACAUACAAACCGAAACUUUUCUUCAACAGUUUGGUUGUUGUUUUCCUCCUAUUCUUAUCUCUCUCCCUCUAUGACAUGCAUUCACGUAAACAUCCGUAUGCCCUCUACUGAUUCUCAACCACUUCUAUGUGAAUUUUUUAUGGAGUCAAUGUCAUAGCAAACUUCCUUUUUCUUGAGUUGUCAAAGACUUUAUGAGUUUAGCUUGGAGUUCUUUAAACCUUUGAGCUACAAGGUUUUCCAGCACCUCAGAUUUUAGAAGACUAUGAUUUUUUUUAUCACUAGGCCCUAGUCACUUAUCGCCAACUUUUACAUUGUCAAAUAAGAAUGAACUAUUCGACUUCUUGCAUUUGCUUGUGUUCUCUUAGAAUUGACAUACUUUUUUAUCCCAUGAUCAUGCUCUCUAGUCUAUCUUAAUCGAUACUUUUAAGAAAAAAGGAAAGGUAAACCAGUUAGCCUCAUUGACUAGUCUUGUAAAUCGGGAGCCCAACAUCCUUUGGUUGCGCGCCCCAUUUGAAAGGAAAAAAUUCUAUAAAUUCGCCAUAGCUGGAGAUCGAGCUAUGGAUGCCUAGGUGACAACCUGGAUGUCCUAUUGCACCAUAGCCCCUGGGGCUUAAUCGAGACUUUUAAGAUGGCAUAUGAUGUGAGCCUUAAUGAUGAUAGUUUGCCCCAAGAUAGUUUUGCACUUGUCUCUGGAAAGCACAUCAAAUACUUGGGAAUGACUAAUACAGCCACUAGUCUUUAUAAUGAGAAUCAUUACUAUUCGUUUAAUGUUAGUGGUGUCUUGUCUCUUUUACCUUUGAGUCUAACUUGAAGGGUGUCUUCCAUGGUUCUGCUGUUGUCAAAUUCUGUAUUCCCACUAAGGCUGCACUACAGGUUUAUCCUGUUUCAAAAUGCAUGUUUUAAAGUGGCAAUAGGUUUGAAGUCAUUGUUUUAUGUUAUGGGAACAAAAAAGUUUGGUGUUUGCCUCUUGUGUGUUUUUCUGCUGUGAAAACGUGGAAAUACUGAAUUCAUUCUAGGGUUUCCUACAUGCGUAGUGAAGUUAUCUUAGUUAGCUAUAAAAGUGCUUCUAAUAGUUUGCUUUUAUGACUUAUAACUAUACAUAGUUUUUAAUUUUUAUUACGCAUAUUGUUUUGUUUAGCCUCUUGCAAUACAAAGUAAGGUUGUGUACGAUAGACCUAAUGUGAUAUGACCAUCGGGCCCCACAUUGGCGGGAGCUUCGUGCACUUUCCUUUUUUAUAUUGUUUUGUUCCUUAUUAAUUUGGUGGCUGUAUACUGUAGUUUGAACGUUAAAUUACACUGGUGUAGGAAGCUUAUUCUACUUCUGUUCUACCAUUUGAUGUUCUUGUUAACAAGCCUUCUGAGAAGAAGUUUGCAUUCGUGAGGUAUCCAUAAUCCAUCCACUGACCAUCUGUUACUAUCUGUUUUUUUUUUAAUUUCCCACUAAUAUUCAAUUUUAAUUUUAAUGGGCUAGCAUCCAUUGCAAACAUGGCCUGCGUUGACAUGUUUUUGGCAAAAGUAACAUUUUUUUUUUCAAUAAUAUUUCUGAAAAGCUUCUGAUUCUUGUGUUCAUCAAAUAAUUAGUUUGCCAUUAUGCACAAACUGCCAACUAAAUAUGGACCAUUGGUGUCUGUUCUGACAUUGGUGGUGCUAGUUCAUCUACCUAGUUGCUGCUCCAUCAAAUGCUGAAAAGAAUCAAGCAAGAAAAGGUGGUGAAUUGAGUUUGGAGCAAAUUUACCUUCUUUUUGGUUGAAAUGCUGCCUGCAGUGCUGUGAGCUGAGUUUUCGUUGUCAUACUCAAAAUGUCGUCCUGUGACACCUGUCUAUUUGCUUGGACUUUUGGGGAACUUCAAAUGCUAAUUCAAGUUCUUGAGUUCUUACCUUUAGCCUUACUAAGAUGACUAGGUUCUUAAUUUGAUGAAUUUCAAAUUUUGCCAAAAUUUUGUUGCUAAUUUUCUCGGGAAGUGUUCAAAAUAAUUAGAUCUAAAAGUGUGGCUCUGCAAGGUGGACAAUGCAUGUAUAAGGGAGCAGUAAGCCAGACUGCUAGCUGAGGUUUAAGGGACCAUGCUGUCCAGCCUGUGUAAUGCACCUCGCCACGUCAGCUCGGUUGGCUCCUGUCUGUGGUUAACAGUUUAAGCUUGAACUCAUCCCGGGUGUAUAAAUGACCAGCUGUCUGGAAAUGGACUUAUUAAGACAUACCUGGUGGAUGUAUUUAAAGUAGUUCCAAAUAAUUCAGGGCCUGCCAUCUGAUACCUUGAUUUUGGUGAUUUAUCUUCGAAACUAGGACUCCUCAUGAGGUGCUUACUAUUCACAUAAAUAUAUAGGUAGAAUCCAAAAUAUUACUGCUUUUGAUGUGUUGCUUCUGGCUUCUGCCUUUUCCUUGUUUUGAAAUCAAGCAUAUUUUUCUUUUCCAAGUGGAUUUAAGACUUUUGGUGAUUCAAGCAGGUCCUCAGUUGGAUCUUCAGUGAUGUGACCAAAUGUGGGAGAAUACUCUAAAUGGUCCUGGGUUUGUUCUUUUGUUUUGUUUUGCUUUUAUUAGAAAAAAGAAGUAUAUCCAAGGAUUGAACCAUUAUUCCGAGGACAGGUGAGUUUCUGAUGAUAUUGCCGUUUUACUUGUAGAAAAAAUUCAGAUUUUGCACCCUUUUCUAAUCUUAUUUAUUAAGGUAUAUGUCUAAGCUCUAUCAUUGUUUCUUUGGUUGAAAUUGCGUUUACAUGUUUAAAUUAUAGAAAAAAUGGUGCUGUUCUUCAAAUUGUGAUACAGUUGCACGAGGAAGAUAAAGACGUGGAGAUGUGCAAAUAGGAUGUGGUGGCAAAAUAAUAUUGGUGAUGCUUGUUGCUGCUUUGAAGUUCAUGUAUGCACUGCACGAAGGCCUUUUCCUAUGGAGCAACGCCUCCAAAUGGACGCGGUAUGGGCGAUUCAACGGGGUUUAGGUGUGUCAACAUCCCACACAAGUUUGAUCUUGCAACUUGCAAAGAACUCACAAGAUGAUACUCCAUGAUAGCUUUUUGUUCUCCUCGUGUUUGGUGUUUAUGACGUACAUUUUGUGUGCGCUUUUUAUCCGUGUAGAAGAGAGAUGGACUUUAUAAACAGCUUACUUUUUAUUUGAUUCUCCUGGACCAUCCAAAAUUUCAUACCAGGGAUAAUAU